Molecule: long non-coding RNA, 3434 nt
Filed under: Podarcis lilfordi (Lilford's wall lizard)
Lineage: Eukaryota; Metazoa; Chordata; Lepidosauria; Squamata; Lacertidae
Source: RNAcentral
GAGAAACAGAAAGCCGCGGCAAGAUUAGGAAGGGUUAGAUGCUUUCACAUUGCCAGGCUGGGCAGAAAGCUUAAAGGAAUCUACACCGAAAACUGACCCAGAAAGGUGAGGUACACUAACUUUCCCCGCGUAUCCUAAUUCAUUCACGUCACUGGAAGGCACUAAACUUCACAUUAUGCAGCAUAUCUUUGACUGAUCUCCCAAAGUGUCAUUUUCACUUAAAAGCUAGCACAGUCGUGCUGGUGGUGUGUUGCUGGGGAGGUGUGGGUAUGCACAGGUUUUUGUGUGAAUUGGAUUAGAGCAGCACUACAGGGGGAAGGAAGGACAACCUUUCCUCCCCGCCAUUUUCUGAAUUUAAAUUUCGCCCCCUCGGGGAGAAAAAUGCAGGUGCCUGUAUUUUCCCACAGUGAGCUACACAGCAGCUGAGGGGGAUUUUGACAGCACAUAGGACAGGGUUAAAUCCCUUUCCCCCAGCACUGAUGCUUCAAUCCAAUUUUGGGGCCUCUGAGGCGGCUGCUUAGUGAAAAUACAUUUGUUGGGAGAUCAGAGAUCUCGCACAUAAUAUGUAGUUUGGCCUUAAUAUUGUACUGUCUGCAGCUCAGAGGGUGGCCCCAAACUAGAUUUUAAAGCCUUAUUGCUUUUUUAUUUGCUAUUUAGUUUUCUUGCAGCUCAGCAUUACUCCUAGACCAUUUAAAUGCGCAAGCAUUUCUAGAGGGUUGUUUAUACAAACUAAGCAAUGGCUGUUUUCAACCUAAACUUCCCAUGGUCAGGAAUGUCAGCUUUAAAUAGCCAAACAAAGACAAAAGGCGCUUGUGCAUUUUGUUGUCCUGCUAUGCAAAAUGCCACCUUAUGCUUUGGGUUGGUUUUAUAUAUCUAUAUCUAUAUCUAUAUCUAUAUCUAUAUCUAUCUAUAUCUAUCUAUCUAUCUAUCUACCUAUCUAUCUAUCUAUCUAUAUUGUUUCUAACUGCCGUGGAAAAGAGGAAUAACCAAUACAUGAAGAAAUGAUGGGUUACCACUGAAAUUUAUGGAAAACCAUACACAGAAUUCUGUCUGAGUUUAAUUGGAAAUUUAAGGUGUCAUCCAAUAGUCCUUGGAAAAGCAUCUUGAGGGCCAUAGUGCAGAUGGGAUCUCCAUCUCUGACAUCAGGGAAAAAGAAAGUGUGGCAAUUCCACCUCUUUCUUCCCCUUCCCCUUCCUCUUCCUACUCCUCUCAUAAUUAUCAUGGUGAUUGAGGCUGCAAUUUUAUAAUCACUUAUCCUCUGACAUCAGGGAUGGAGCUCAGAGAUCAAAAUCCAGUGUUGGAUAUUAACCACCAGCCCUGUCACUUCUCGAUCCUCUGAAACCUUAGCCCAACCAACAUCAGGGUUCUGUCACUGACAGAGUCAAAGGGGUGACAUGGAUUACAGCUAGGGUGGGGAUGCCAGUAGCUGGGUGGACACAACGUUGAACACAUCAUCUACUGGAAGGAUAGGUCAGUUUCUCAAAUGUACACACCUGUGCUUUACUACAAAUUCAACAUGGCUACAAUUUUCAAGUUAGAUGAAAGCUGGUGGUGGGGGUAGGGAGCACGUUAAACAGCAAUAUUUCACAAGAAACUACAGAGUACCUUUAGAUUGUGGGUAAUGUAAUGUGUACAUGUAGGAGUGUGCUGAAGUCAGAGUAAACAGUAAUUUGCACACAUCCUUAGUUUAAGGUAGACUAUACACCAAUACCACCCAGGAUGCAAUAUUGCAAUAUGCCUUUCAAGAUACACACAAAAUACAAAUAAGCCAACUGGAAUAGACUCCUACUUCAAAUAUAAUUAGAACAAUUUAUCUUGAGGAAUUCCAUUAAUUGAAUGCACAAAUCUAGUGACACAGAAGUGUGUCAUUUGCUCUGUUGACUGUGCCAGAGCACUUGAACUAACUACCAUAAAGGAAGUACCAUAAAGAAGUUAGAUACCCUUUUCUGCACCUAGGAUUGAAUAUAUAUGUAUAAAAGAUAGAGUACAGACGCCUGUGCUGACACGACAUCACAAAAGAUAACAGCAUUAUGCUGACACUGCAGAAAGAGAUGUCAGUGCAGAGAUGCAAUAUCAGUGUGCAAAGCAACUUCUAGGCAAUUCUAGUUAAGGAGGUUUGUGUGCCAUUUCCACAAAUCUAAUCCCUAUAGAAGAAAAGGGCAGAUGCAAUACAGUGUCUACUCAAAAGUACAUCUCACUGACUUCCAGGUCAUAUGCACAGAAUUGCAGCCUUACAGUGCAAGCCUACGUAUAGCACUUCAAUGAGUUCAACAAACCCAUUGAGUUCCAUACAUUUACUCCCAGGGAAGUGGGUAUAGGAUUGCAGCUUUAGUCUCUGCUGGUUUUUCACAAGUCCACACCAGUGCAGGCAUUCCAUGUUUGUGGCUGGCUCCCCAUGGUAAGCAUGUGGGCUUUGCAAAAUAAAGCUACUUGCCUUUUUCUAUAAUAUACACCACACCCAACUGUGUGCCAUGUUUAAGGUAUAUUUAUUUUUUUAAAGGAGAAAAUAAAACAUCAAAUUUAUCAAGAAUGCAGCAGCUAGGUGGCUACUGUCUGGUACAAACCAAGACAGGUAAUAUUAUAACUAUUUCAUGCCAGCUUCACUUGUUAUAUCUUUGUUUCGGGAUUCAGUCCAAGGCAUUUGUUUUACAGCACAGUCCAGUACAUGCCUAAAGGGCACCCCCAAGGAAUACUUAAGCCAAAGGCUGUGGGAGGUGAUCAAAGAGGGCCCUUAACCCAAUAAUACCUUGGGUAUAACCAAUCAAAAUGUCCUCACAUGCUCAUGCCAACUUAAGCCACUCCAAGCCAAUUAGAAUUACCCUACAGUGUGAUGCAGGCAAAAAAAGAGGUGUUCCAAAGGCCAAUCAGUGGCUUCCCCCAAAAAUUCCUACUCUGCCCCAUAAACAAUGACUAGCAAAGCCUACACUAUAUAGGGAGGGAAGGUGCUGCCAGAAUAGAAGAGAAGCAGCAGCUGGAGGGCAGCCACCCAUUCCCAGUUGGAUACUAAAACCCAUGUCUCUCAUAACAACUUCUGUUCCAGGAUAAACUGCACAAGGCCUGACCCAGGAGGGGUGUGUGUGUGGCAAAUUCAGCCCCACUCUAGAGUGGGAGCGGCAUAUUCCCAGCAUCUGUUCUCUUUCAGCUUGCAGUGAAAGAAAAGAGCGUUGUCCAGUGAUCACCAACUUGAAAAUGAAGACUCUAAAGGGAAUAAGAUUGUGGCGGUUGAUUCAAGAGAAAAUUAGAGUUUAUUUACAAUCUGCACUUGAAUGGAUUUUCUUUAAUGGAUUUCCUCAGUGUAGUUUACAGGAGCAGGUCUCAUAAUGGCAAGGGUGCUGUUUAAACAAGCAAUAAAAUUUAUUAACUUCUAGAAGCAUCCAAAUGCUCCUCCAAGGCCCAGAACGCUACAAAAGCAUUACUCAGAACACAAAUCAGAG